UGGUUGCUGCUCUCCAUGAGCUGUUCCAACUGUGAAGCAAAAGCUUCAUGCAUAAAGGCAUCCCAACGCAGUCAAUGACGCACAGGAGAAAGAGGACAGAGAUAAGCUUCUUGCCUGUUCCAGACACUGAGGAUCAGGCAGAGAGAGAGGCUCCUGCCAGGCUGAGCAGCCGAAUGUUUUCCUUGGCUGAAUGGCAAGCAAGCACCAAGUGUCCACAGUUUCCGGAGUGUGGAUAUGAACAGCCGUCUUGGGUCCUGAGGUGGAAGCCAUGUGUGGAAGAUGGAGGGCAUCGGUUAGAAGGAGUCUAGUCCCUGAUGGUCACUGAGCUGCAGAACCAGCCUGGGCUGCUUCCUGCUGGAUGUCACUUACUAGAGAGCGAAAUUAAAUGUGCUUCAGCUACUGUU
Molecule: long non-coding RNA, 404 nt
Filed under: Homo sapiens (human)
Lineage: Eukaryota; Metazoa; Chordata; Mammalia; Primates; Hominidae
Description: HSALNT0174953
Source: RNAcentral